CGGUUUCUUAAGUCUGAUGUGAAAGCCCACGCCUCAACCGUGGAGGGUCAUUGGAAACUGGGGAACUUGAGUGCCGAAGAGAAAAGCGGAAUUCCACGUGUAGCGGUGAAAUGCGUAGAGAUGUGGAGGAACACCAGUGGCGAAGGCGGCUUUUUGGUCUGUAACUGACGCUGAGGCGCGAAAGCGUGGGGAGCAAACAGGAUUAGAUACCCUGGUAGUCCACGCCGUAAACGAUGAGUGCUAAGUGUUAGAGGGUUUCCGCCCUUUAGUGCUGGAGCUAACGCAUUAAGCACUCCGCCUGGG
This 303-nucleotide ribosomal RNA is filed under the name Bacillus subtilis. RNAcentral describes it as "bacterial SSU rRNA". It matches the Rfam family "Bacterial small subunit ribosomal RNA", at positions 576 to 877 of the family's 1533-position model. Lineage: Bacteria; Bacillati; Bacillota; Bacilli; Caryophanales; Bacillaceae. The record is from RNAcentral.